This 322-nucleotide ribosomal RNA is filed under the name Chaetoceros curvisetus. Its description in RNAcentral is "partial Bacterial large subunit ribosomal RNA". It matches the Rfam family "Bacterial large subunit ribosomal RNA", at positions 684 to 1001 of the family's 2925-position model. The record is from RNAcentral. Lineage: Eukaryota; Bacillariophyta; Thalassiosirophyceae; Chaetocerotales; Chaetocerotaceae.
CGAAUAGGGUGGCAAGUGGCAUGUCCUGGACCCGAAGCGGGGUGAUCUACCCAUGGCCAGUGUGAAGCAGCUGUAAGAGGUUGUGGAGGCGCGAACCCACGUAGGUUAAAAACUGCGGGGAUGAGCUGUGGGUAGGGGUGAAAGGCCAAUCAAACUCCGUGAUAGCUGGUUCUCCCCGAAAUGCAUUUAGGUGCAGCGUCGUAUUAUAGCUUGGUGGAGGUAGAGCGACUGGUUGGUUGAGCGGGACUACAAUCUUAGCAAUGUCAGCCAAACUCCGAAUGCCACUAAUUGUGUUGUACGGCAGUGAGACUGUGGGGGAUAA